UUUAAAUGCCAUAAUAGGGCUUGGGCGCCAAGUUGCAUUCUGGGACGUGGCGGCCAUGUUGCCAGCUUCGCGAAUGUAAACAUACAGCCAGUUGAACGAGAAGAGCAGAGUUGGUAGAAAGAAAAAAAGAUGUCAAAACCGCGAAAAGGUUGUGGGAUUUAUAGGGAUACGCUAAAUGGGGGUGCCAGGGACCGGUAUGUGGACAAAAUCGGCUAUAUUAACGGUUUGGAUCCAUAUGAAAUUCCCAACAAAUAGUGGAGUACCGACGCAUUACAGAUAUCUUCGGCUAACUUACCUUGUUUGUUUUGUGAGCGCCUACACUUCAAAAUAGUUCCAAAGCUACAAGUCAAGUCUCAUGUACAGUUCACAAAUGGAUGGGUUCAGGAGCUGCAAAUCAUAGAAACGGAACAGCGGCAAAACAGUAUACGGUAAUCCGGAAAUGACAUCAGAAGGCUACCAUUUCCUCUUCAGUUCUUUGUAUGGUGUAGAAAAGAGACCACUGUUUCUACACUGUUUGUGCCCUUGCCUUGGUACCCAAGAAGAUCCUCAGUCAGAUACAGGUAAAUAUUUGACACAUUAACAACACUGUGACGAGUGGGGCGGGGCCGAAAGUCAUGGGAACAGACCAGGCCGGUGGAGUGAUUGGAAAUGAGCGACACCUGCUCGACCCACCGGUCUCGAGUCCCACGGAGGAGAUGGAAGGAUCUAAAACAGGAGCGACGAGAGAGGACUAGGCCUGGGCUUUAGUUUGUGUUUUGAUUUUGUUUGUGCGCAGCAGUCGUCCGUGAGGGGCUGCCGCGCUGUUUUGUGUUUAUUUUAUUAUUAAAGCUCUCAUUUUGAUUGUACGCCGGUUCCCGUCUCUUUC
Long non-coding RNA from Carassius gibelio (silver crucian carp), 865 nucleotides. RefSeq lists it as uncharacterized. NCBI's taxonomy places the organism in Eukaryota, Metazoa, Chordata, Actinopteri, Cypriniformes, Cyprinidae. The record is from RefSeq and is a predicted model, not a curated record. The transcript is spliced from 3 exons.